This 355-nucleotide long non-coding RNA is filed under the name Chrysemys picta bellii (western painted turtle). RNAcentral's name for it is "lncRNA (ENSCPBG00000006261.1)". Lineage: Eukaryota; Metazoa; Chordata; Testudines; Emydidae. The record is from RNAcentral.
GGGCAAUCAGCAUCGAGCUCUGGGAGGCAGAGCUGACUCAAGGGGGCAGAGGGGAAUCUUGAACCCACAAGUAACUUGGCAGCCACUCGCUGGCAUGCGGACAUGAGCAGCAUGAGAGAGAAUCCGAAGUCUCUUCAAGCUGGCACCUGUACACCUCUAAUCACUGUGUGUGUGGACGCACAGGGCGCAUGUCAACUGCAGUACGGCAGCAGGAGGAUCUCACCCAUUGUCUUACCGAUGUGCCCAGCCAAAUCGUGAUUUUUGUUUUCUUUCUUGCUAGUGGUAUUAUUUUUUAAAAUUAACAUUUAGUAUGCAGGGUAGAGCUGCUUAAACAAUACCAAUUAUUUUGCAUGGG